RNAcentral lists this long non-coding RNA (281 nucleotides) under Phaseolus vulgaris (common bean). RNAcentral describes it as "long non-coding RNA (PVUL_LNC003054)". The record is from RNAcentral. Lineage: Eukaryota; Viridiplantae; Streptophyta; Magnoliopsida; Fabales; Fabaceae.
GAAUUUCAAUGAAUUUCCUUAAAUCUAGGAGAUAAAUGGUAUUCUGCAAGCGCACUCCGCAGACUGCAUAAUUGAACCAUUACAGUUUACAAACAUUCUUUUUGCAUACCAGUAGUUGGUUUAUUGAAUAGCAUUCGAAUUAGAACAUUUUUCUUUUAUUUUUCUUGGUACUAUUUUCCUCUUGCGUUUUGUUUAGGGAACUUUUCCUUUUAGAGCUUUCUUUGGCAAACAACUGCUUAUCUUUUUCCCUUCCUUUUCUGUUUCUUUUUUCUGCAGGAGCA